CAGACCUCUAAUCGGAAAAGACUACCCGCUGAGUUAA
RNAcentral lists this ribosomal RNA (37 nucleotides) under Homalia lusitanica. RNAcentral's name for it is "partial 26S ribosomal RNA". The record is from RNAcentral. Lineage: Eukaryota; Viridiplantae; Streptophyta; Bryopsida; Hypnales; Neckeraceae.